This is a long non-coding RNA of Micropterus dolomieu (smallmouth bass), 870 nucleotides long. RefSeq lists it as uncharacterized. The record is from RefSeq and is a predicted model, not a curated record. The transcript has 4 exons. Lineage: Eukaryota; Metazoa; Chordata; Actinopteri; Centrarchiformes; Centrarchidae.
ACCCUAUUUCAAUCUAUGGAGGUAACUAAAUUGGUAACUUACAUGGUACAAAUCAUCGUUAAGCGACGCAGGUGUUCCCCGAAACCAUAGUUCCGAUGAACGUUCGCACUAACUGUCGUUAAGAUUCCACAAUGAAAGAACAUGAGGACAGGAGAUGGAUGAGGAUAAAUCAGACAGCAACUCGGCUGAUGAGAACAAAUGAGGAGCCUGGUGAUUCAUUGUGUGAAUGACAAACACUGCAACAGUCUAUAAUACAGAGCAGCUUCAAACAGAUGGGAGGAAGAACAUCUGUGUGUUUUAAUUGGUCACACAUGCGAUAUCAAGCACACAGCCCAUCUAAAACUGUCUGUAAACACUGCUGCUGUUGUGUGCGUAACCGCAGCCAGUUUUGAGAGAAGGGAAAUCGUCCUUGGAGCAGUUCAUCAGGAGAGAGAAAGAGCGAGGAUGCCUCCACCUCCUGUUGUUUGUCCGGGAUGCCAAGCUCACGCACAGCAUGCCAGGCCCCAUGCGGGCGCUCAGGCCGGCCGGAAAAGACAGAGCUCUUGGAAGACUCGGGUCUGGUCAGAGCCAACACGAUGCUCAUGCCAGGCAGAGCAACUGUGGCCAGCGUCUGCUAGUGCAUCUCUCCCCUUUACCCGUCGACACACUGCAGACCUCAGGGGAAAGGAUGCAACCAUCAGGGGACCAGUAGUCCAUCCGGGCCGGGCUGGAGGACAGACCCCAUGUGGCAGAGAGUGGGAGCAAUUGUCCAGGUGAGUGGAGGUGUGAAAGAAGGCAGGAUUUGAACAUCUCUUCAUUGUAUCUGGCUGACAUCGCUCCGCACAUUCGAUUGUGGCCAUAUGGAACACGUGCAACCAGUUUUGCCUUCAG